AGCAUAUCAAUAAGCGGAGGAAAAGAAACCAACAGGGAUUGCCCUAGUAACGGCGAGUGAAGCGGCAACAGCUCAAAUUUGAAAUCUGGCCCUUUUAGGGUCCGAGUUGUAAUUUGCAGAGGGCGCUUUGGCGUUGGCAGCGGUCCAAGUUCUUUGGAACAGGACGUCACAGAGGGUGAGAAUCCCGUACGUGGUCGCUAGCCUUCGCCGUGUAAAGCCCCUUCGACGAGUCGAGUUGUUUGGGAAUGCAGCUCUAAAUGGGAGGUAAAUUUCUUCUAAAGCUAAAUACUGGCCAGAGACCGAUAGCGCACAAGUAGAGUGAUCGAAAGAUGAAAAGCACUUUGGAAAGAGAGUCAAAUAGCACGUGAAAUUGUUGAAAGGGAAGCGCUUGCAGCCAGACUUGCCUGUAGUUGCUUAUCCGGACUUUUGUCCGGUGCACUCUUCUGCGGGCAGGCCAGCAUCAGUUUAGGCGGUUGGAUAAAGGUCUCUAUCACGUACCUCCCUUCGGGGUUGGCCUUAUAGGGGAGACGACAUGCAACCAGCCUGAACUGAGGUCCGCGCAUCUGCUAGGAUGCUGGCGUAAUGGCUGUAAGCGGCCCGUCUUGAAACACGGACCAAGGAGUCUAACAUCUAUGCGAGUGUUUGGGUGUCAAGCCCAGACGCGUAAUGAAAGUGAACGGAGGUGGGAACCUUUUAGGUGCACCAUCGACCGAUCCUGAUGUCUUCGGAUGGAUUUGAGUAAGAGCAUGGCUGUUGGGACCCGAAAGAUGGUGAACUAUGCUUGAAUAGGGUGAAGCCAGAGGAAACUCUGGUGGAGGCUCGCAGCGGUUCUGACGUGCAAAUCGAUCGUCAAAUUUGGGCAUAGGGGCGAAAGACUAAUCGAACCAUC
RNAcentral lists this ribosomal RNA (889 nucleotides) under Phaeosphaeria ammophilae. RNAcentral's name for it is "LSU rRNA". It matches the Rfam family "Eukaryotic large subunit ribosomal RNA", at positions 37 to 944 of the family's 3401-position model. Lineage: Eukaryota; Fungi; Ascomycota; Dothideomycetes; Pleosporales; Phaeosphaeriaceae. The record is from RNAcentral.